This 357-nucleotide ribosomal RNA is filed under the name uncultured bacterium. Its description in RNAcentral is "bacterial SSU rRNA". It matches the Rfam family "Bacterial small subunit ribosomal RNA", at positions 69 to 423 of the family's 1533-position model. The record is from RNAcentral.
AAUACAAGGAGCUUGCUCCGAGCUAUUUAGUGGCGAACGGGUGAGUAUCACGUGAGCAACCUGCCCCGAAGACCGGGACAACACCGGGAAACCGGUGCUAAUACCGGAUAUCCCUAUCGGACCGCAUGAUCUGAUAAGGAAAUGGAUUCCGCUUCGGGAGGGGCUCGCGGCCUAUCAGCUAGUUGGUGAGGUAAUGGCUCACCAAGGCAUCGACGGGUAGCUGGUCUGAGAGGACGAUCAGCCACACUGGGACUGAGACACGGCCCAGACUCCUACGGGAGGCAGCAGUGGGGAAUCUUGCGCAAUGGACGAAAGUCUGACGCAGCAACGCCGCGUGGGGGAUGAAGCUUCUCGGAG